AUAAAGCCACUGAAUUACACCACAAAUCAACAAGGCAUAUUAAGGAAUUGAAUGUUACGUUACUUAAGGAAAACAAAAAUGUGCAAAAAAAACUCAAGGACCUCCAAAAAGGCCCGAGGUGGAAUGGCAGACGACUUGGAAAAAUGAUUCAAAGAGCAGAACUUUGUUCGUCAAAGAAAUACCUUGUCAACUCUUGCUAUUUCCUGUCUACUACAAUAAAUGAGGAUGAAUAAUUACAA
Pelobates fuscus (common spadefoot toad) is the source of this 239-nucleotide long non-coding RNA. RefSeq lists it as uncharacterized. Lineage: Eukaryota; Metazoa; Chordata; Amphibia; Anura; Pelobatidae. The record is from RefSeq and is a predicted model, not a curated record. The transcript is spliced from 2 exons.